GGGUUGUGAGGUUAAGCGACUAAGCGUACACGGUGGAUGCCCUGGCAGUCAGAGGCGAUGAAGGGCGUGCUAAUCUGCGAUAAGCGCCGGUAAGGUGAUAUGAACCGUUAUAACCGGCGAUACCCGAAUGGGGAAACCCAGUGUGAUUCGUCACACUAUCAUUAACUGAAUCCAUAGGUUAAUGAGGCGAACCGGGGGAACUGAAACAUCUAAGUACCCCGAGGAAAAGAAAUCAACCGAGAUUCCCCCAGUAGCGGCGAGCGAACGGGGAGGAGCCCAGAGCCUGAAUCAGCAUGUGUGUUAGUGGAAGCGUCUGGAAAGGCGCGCGAUACAGGGUGACAGCCCCGUACACAAAAGCGCAUGUGCUGUGAGCUCGAUGAGUAGGGCGGGACACGUGGUAUCCUGUCUGAAUAUGGGGGGACCAUCCUCCAAGGCUAAAUACUCCUGACUGACCGAUAGUGAACCAGUACCGUGAGGGAAAGGCGAAAAGAACCCCGGCGAGGGGAGUGAAAAAGAACCUGAAACCGUGUACGUACAAGCAGUGGGAGCNNNNNNNNNNNNNNNNNNNNNNNNNNNNNNNNNNNNNNNNNNNNNNNNNNGGGCGUUAAGUUGCAGGGUAUAGACCCGAAACCCGGUGAUCUAGCCAUGGGCAGGUUGAAGGUUGGGUAACACUAACUGGAGGACCGAACCGACUAAUGUUGAAAAAUUAGCGGAUGACCUGUGGCUGGGGGUGAAAGGCCAAUCAAACCGGGAGAUAGCUGGUUCUCCCCGAAAGCUAUUUAGGUAGCGCCUCGUGAAUUCAUCUCCGGGGGUAGAGCACUGUUUCGGCUAGGGGGCCAUCCCGGCUUACCAACCCGAUGCAAACUGCGAAUACCGGAGAAUGUUAUCACGGGAGACACACGGCGGGUGCUAACGUCCGUCGUGAAGAGGGAAACAACCCAGACCGCCAGCUAAGGUCCCAAAGUCAUGGUUAAGUGGGAAACGAUGUGGGAAGGCCCAGACAGCCAGGAUGUUGGCUUAGAAGCAGCCAUCAUUUAAAGAAAGCGUAAUAGCUCACUGGUCGAGUCGGCCUGCGCGGAAGAUGUAACGGGGCUAAACCAUGCACCGAAGCUGCGGCAGCGACACUGUGUGUUGUUGGGUAGGGGAGCGUUCUGUAAGCCUGUGAAGGUGUGUCGUGAGGCAUGCUGGAGGUAUCAGAAGUGCGAAUGCUGACAUAAGUAACGAUAAAGCGGGUGAAAAGCCCGCUCGCCGGAAGACCAAGGGUUCCUGUCCAACGUUAAUCGGGGCAGGGUGAGUCGACCCCUAAGGCGAGGCCGAAAGGCGUAGUCGAUGGGAAACGGGUUAAUAUUCCCGUACUUGGUGUUACUGCGAAGGGGGGACGGAGAAGGCUAUGUUGGCCGGGCGACGGUUGUCCCGGUUUAAGCGUGUAGGUGUGUGUUCCAGGUAAAUCCGGUUCACUUUAACACUGAGGCGUGACGACGAGGCACUACGGUGCUGAAGCAACAAAUGCCCUGCUUCCAGGAAAAGCCUCUAAGCAUCAGGUAACAUCAAAUCGUACCCCAAACCGACACAGGUGGUCAGGUAGAGAAUACCAAGGCGCUUGAGAGAACUCGGGUGAAGGAACUAGGCAAAAUGGUGCCGUAACUUCGGGAGAAGGCACGCUGACACGUAGGUGAAGUGAUUUACUCAUGGAGCUGAAGUCAGUCGAAGAUACCAGCUGGCUGCAACUGUUUAUUAAAAACACAGCACUGUGCAAACACGAAAGUGGACGUAUACGGUGUGACGCCUGCCCGGUGCCGGAAGGUUAAUUGAUGGGGUCAGCGCAAGCGAAGCUCCUGAUCGAAGCCCCGGUAAACGGCGGCCGUAACUAUAACGGUCCUAAGGUAGCGAAAUUCCUUGUCGGGUAAGUUCCGACCUGCACGAAUGGCGUAAUGAUGGCCAGGCUGUCUCCACCCGAGACUCAGUGAAAUUGAACUCGCUGUGAAGAUGCAGUGUACCCGCGGCAAGACGGAAAGACCCCGUGAACCUUUACUAUAGCUUGACACUGAACAUUGAGCCUUGAUGUGUAGGAUAGGUGGGAGGCUUUGAAGUGUGGACGCCAGUCUGCAUGGAGCCGACCUUGAAAUACCACCCUUUAAUGUUUGAUGUUCUAACGUGGACCCGUUACCCGGGUUGCGGACAGUGUCUGGUGGGUAGUUUGACUGGGGCGGUCUCCUCCUAAAGAGUAACGGAGGAGCACGAAGGUUGGCUAAUCCUGGUCGGACAUCAGGAGGUUAGUGCAAUGGCAUAAGCCAGCUUGACUGCGAGCGUGACGGCGCGAGCAGGUGCGAAAGCAGGUCAUAGUGAUCCGGUGGUUCUGAAUGGAAGGGCCAUCGCUCAACGGAUAAAAGGUACUCCGGGGAUAACAGGCUGAUACCGCCCAAGAGUUCAUAUCGACGGCGGUGUUUGGCACCUCGAUGUCGGCUCAUCACAUCCUGGGGCUGAAGUAGGUCCCAAGGGUAUGGCUGUUCGCCAUUUAAAGUGGUACGCGAGCUGGGUUUAGAACGUCGUGAGACAGUUCGGUCCCUAUCUGCCGUGGGCGCUGGAGAACUGAGGGGGGCUGCUCCUAGUACGAGAGGACCGGAGUGGACGCAUCACUGGUGUUCGGGUUGUCAUGCCAAUGGCACUGCCCGGUAGCUAAAUGCGGAAGAGAUAAGUGCUGAAAGCAUCUAAGCACGAAACUUGCCCCGAGAUGAGUUCUCCCUGAGACUUAAAGUCUCCUGAAGGAACGUUGAAGACGACGACGUUGAUAGGCCGGGUGUGUAAGCGCAGCGAUGCGUUGAGCUAACCGGUACUAAUGAACCGUGAGGCUUAACCUUACAACGCCGAAG
This 2870-nucleotide ribosomal RNA is filed under the name Salmonella enterica subsp. enterica serovar Enteritidis. RNAcentral's name for it is "bacterial LSU rRNA". It matches the Rfam family "Bacterial large subunit ribosomal RNA". Lineage: Bacteria; Pseudomonadati; Pseudomonadota; Gammaproteobacteria; Enterobacterales; Enterobacteriaceae. The record is from RNAcentral.